RNAcentral lists this ribosomal RNA (250 nucleotides) under uncultured prokaryote. RNAcentral describes it as "partial 16S rRNA". It matches the Rfam family "Bacterial small subunit ribosomal RNA", at positions 525 to 775 of the family's 1533-position model. The record is from RNAcentral.
ACGUAGGGGGCAAGCGUUAUCCGGAAUUAUUGGGCGUAAAGAGUGCGUAGGUGGUUUUUUAAGCGUGAGGUGAAAGGCAAUAGCUUAACUAUUGUAAGCCUUGCGAACUGGAAGACUUGAGUGCAGGAGAGGAAAGUGGAAUUCCUAGUGUGGCGGUGAAGUGCAUAGAUAUUAGCAGGAACGCCAGAGGCGGAGGGGACUAACCGGGAUGUAACUCACACUUAGGCACGAAAGCGUGUGAAGCAAACAG